This 268-nucleotide small RNA is filed under the name uncultured Ruminiclostridium sp. Its description in RNAcentral is "RT-2 RNA". The stretch from base 55 to 268 matches the Rfam family "RT-2 RNA". Rfam says of the family: Coriobacteriales (Actinobacteria), Clostridiales (Firmicutes). The record is from RNAcentral. Lineage: Bacteria; Bacillati; Bacillota; Clostridia; Eubacteriales; Oscillospiraceae.
UAAAGUAAGCUUAUAGCUGAAAUCAAGCUCGUUAUUUUUUUUAUUUACGGAAGGAGAGGAUAACCGUCCCGAAAAGGAUAAAUAUAUACAGCGCCGCUUGUCAUAUAACGGCGCUUUUCUUGACGCGAUUAGCCGGACGCUGCUUGCAUGGGCGGGGAUAGGCGAUAGAGCCGGAGGAACCCCGGCGAGUACCCGUUUACAUGGCUAUUAUCGCAAAGGAGAACACAAUGCGCCCCUACAAUAACACUCCGCGAGGUAUAAAUUAUAU